ACCUGGCGGCGAGUGGCGAACGGGUGAGUAAUAUAUCGGAACGUGCCCUGGAGUGGGGGAUAACGCAGCGAAAGUUGCGCUAAUGCCGCAUACGAUCUAAGGAUGAAAGUGGGGGAUUCGCAAGAACCUCAUGCUCCUGGAGCGGCCGAUAUCUGAUUAGCUAGUUGGUGGGGUAAAGGCCUACCAAGGCAUCGAUCAGUAGCUGGUCUGAGAGGACGACCAGCCACACUGGAACUGAGACACGGUCCAGACUCCUACGGGAGGCAGCAGUGGGGAAUUUUGGACAAUGGGCGAAAGCCUGAUCCAGCAAUGCCGCGUGAGUGAAGAAGGCCUUCGGGUUGUAAAGCUCUUUUGUCAGGGAAGAAACGGUGAAGGCUAAUAUCCUUUGCUAAUGACGGUACCUGAAGAAUAAGCACCGGCUAACUACGUGCCAGCAGCCGCGGUAAUACGUAGGGUGCAAGCGUUAAUCGGAAUUACUGGGCGUAAAGCGUGCGCAGGCGGUUUUGUAAGUUUGUCGUGAAAGCCCCGGGCUCAACCUGGGAAUUGCGAUGAAGACUGCAAGGCUUGAAUCUGGCAGAGGGGGGUAGAAUUCCACGUGUAGCAGUGAAAUGCGUAGAGAUGUGGAGGAACACCGAUGGCGAAGGCAGCCCCCUGGGUCAAGAUUGACGCUCAUGCACGAAAGCGUGGGGAGCAAACAGGAUUAGAUACCCUGGUAGUCCACGCCCUAAACGAUGUCUACUAGUUGUCGGGUUUUAAUUAACUUGGUAACGCAGCUAACGCGUGAAGUAGACCGCCUGGGGAGUACGGUCGCAAGAUUAAAACUCAAAGGAAUUGACGGGGACCCGCACAAGCGGUGGAUGAUGUGGAUUAAUUCGAUGCAACGCGAAAAACCUUACCUACCCUUGACAUGUACGGAAGCCACGAGAGAUCGAGGUGUGCUCGAAAGAGAGCCGUAACACAGGUGG
This 965-nucleotide ribosomal RNA is filed under the name uncultured bacterium. Its description in RNAcentral is "bacterial SSU rRNA". It matches the Rfam family "Bacterial small subunit ribosomal RNA", at positions 83 to 1041 of the family's 1533-position model. The record is from RNAcentral.